ACUGAACGCUAGCGGCAGGCCUAACACAUGCAAGUCGAGGGGCAGCACAGGUAGCAAUACUGGGUGGCGACCGGCGGAUGGGUGCGUAACGCGUAUGCAACCUACCAUUGAUUGGGGCAUAGCCCGAAGAAAUUCGGAUUAAUACUCCAUAAUAUUCAUCAAAGGCAUCUUUUAUGAAUUAAAGCUUUUGCGAUCAAUGAUGGGCAUGCGUGACAUUAGUUAGUUGGUGAGGUAACGGCUCACCAAAACGAUGAUGUCUAGGGGUUCUGAGAGGAUUAUCCCCCACACUGGUACUGAGACACGGACCAGACUCCUACGGGAGGCAGCAGUGAGGAAUAUUGGUCAAAUGGACGCAAGUCUGAACCAGCCAUGCCGCGUGCAGGAUGACGGCCCUAUGGGUUGUAAACUGCUUUUCCACGGGAAGAACCCUCCGACGUGUCGGAGACUGACGGUACCGUGGGAAUAAGCAUCGGCUAACUCCGUG
Molecule: ribosomal RNA, 484 nt
Filed under: uncultured bacterium
Lineage: Bacteria
Description: bacterial SSU rRNA
Rfam family: Bacterial small subunit ribosomal RNA
Source: RNAcentral